AAUGAUUUGUUAACUUGUAACAAUGCCGCGAACUUAAUAUAGAAAAUGCAUAAAAAUUCAUGACUGAACCAAAAAUCUCGUGAUCAAUGUGUUAAAACCAAUAUCAGAUUUAUGUUGAAACCUUGAAACGUAAGCAAACAUAAUUAUAUUGAAAUUUCAUUUGGCAACACUGCAACUGUCAAUGUCAUCGAGUUUGAAAGAGUGGAACAGAAGGUCAGCAGUUAAAUGAAAGAUGUAAUUAUUUCAGCAAUGAACGGCCGUCAUAACAAUUGUUGACAAACGCAGGUACCAUUGCCUUUGUGGAAUAAUCAGUGUACUUGUAAAUGGGAAGACCAGCGUCGGUGAGCAGAUUCGAAGACUUUGUAUACAUUCAAAUUAACAGAAAAAUAACCAGGCGUAUUGUAGUAUUGGGUGCGUGCAUUCCAGAAAAGUGACUGCCAUCAUUAAAGUUCCACAAAUAUGCAAGCCGUUUACAAGCGAAAUAAGGAUCAGUAGUUCUCAUCAAGACUGUGAGGUUAGCAAAGCCCGGUGCAUCAAAAGAUACUUUAGUGUCAUUUUCAGAAACAUUUGACACUCCAUUCAAAGUAGAUACUUGCACAAUGGGCAUCAAAAGACAAUCUAAAAACAUAUAGAAGAAGGGAGGUGGAGAAACUUUUUAUGUCACAAAAUGUGAACUUAUUUGUAGCUCCUUCAUUCUUUGUUAUGGCCAAUCUACACAAUAUCUCUCCUAGUGUCUUUUAGAAAGGAAACAUUGAGCUAUAUUUUUUAAACUAUGAAAAUGCAUUUUACUGUCUAAUAGUUAAGAAUACUUAUAUAACAUAUUAAAAUGAAAUUAAUUAAAAAAUAAAUUUCAAUUGAAUCUUA
Long non-coding RNA from Xenia sp. Carnegie-2017, 864 nucleotides. RefSeq lists it as uncharacterized. The transcript is spliced from 2 exons. NCBI's taxonomy places the organism in Eukaryota, Metazoa, Cnidaria, Anthozoa, Malacalcyonacea, Xeniidae. The record is from RefSeq and is a predicted model, not a curated record.